AUUUUACAUUUGAUGAUCGCUCAGUUUAGCCUUUUUGGCUAAGCUGUGAGGAAAGUCCGAACUUCCUUUGAAGAAAUUCAAUGUCAAGGUAGUGGAUAACAUCCACCCUCCGUCUCUCACGAGAAUUGGAGCGGGAAAGUGCCACAGAGACUAUACUAGUCCGCCGAUUCGGCGGGCAAAAGGUGAAAAGUGGUUUGGUGUCAUUUGCACAAUUGACAAAUGGCUACAAACUUCGGCUCCCAGUGAUGGGAUGUCGUGGUAAACCCUAUCUGAAGAAAGAGCAGCGUUACGAUUUAUCGUUUCGAAAAGUUAGCUCGUUUGAUCCCGACAGUAAUGUCGGGACUAGAUAAAUGAUCAUCGCCCCACCCCUCGCGAGGGGUGGGAUUACAGAAUUCGGCUUAUAUUUGUAGAAUGGAC
Molecule: RNase P RNA, 417 nt
Filed under: Candidatus Magasanikbacteria bacterium CG10_big_fil_rev_8_21_14_0_10_36_16
Lineage: Bacteria; Candidatus Magasanikiibacteriota
Description: RNase P RNA component class A
Rfam family: Bacterial RNase P class A
About the family: Ribonuclease P (RNase P) is a ubiquitous endoribonuclease, found in archaea, bacteria and eukarya as well as chloroplasts and mitochondria. Its best characterised activity is the generation of mature 5'-ends of tRNAs by cleaving the 5'-leader elements of precursor-tRNAs. Cellular RNase Ps are ribonucleoproteins.
Source: RNAcentral